UGGGACUUGGUGUAGUGGAAGUCACAUGAGAUUUUGGCUCUUAUAGCAGAGGUUCGAGUCCUCUAGUCCCAA
Molecule: transfer RNA, 72 nt
Filed under: Crassvirales sp.
Lineage: Duplodnaviria; Heunggongvirae; Uroviricota; Caudoviricetes; Crassvirales
Description: tRNA-Gln
Rfam family: tRNA
About the family: Transfer RNA (tRNA) molecules are approximately 80 nucleotides in length. Their secondary structure includes four short double-helical elements and three loops (D, anti-codon, and T loops). Further hydrogen bonds mediate the characteristic L-shaped molecular structure. tRNAs have two regions of fundamental functional importance: the anti-codon, which is responsible for specific mRNA codon recognition, and the 3' end, to which the tRNAs corresponding amino acid is attached (by aminoacyl-tRNA synthetases). tRNAs cope with the degeneracy of the genetic code in two manners: having more than one tRNA (with a specific anti-codon) for a particular amino acid; and 'wobble' base-pairing, i.e. permitting non-standard base-pairing at the 3rd anti-codon position.
Source: RNAcentral